Molecule: long non-coding RNA, 1767 nt
Organism: Symphalangus syndactylus (siamang)
Lineage: Eukaryota; Metazoa; Chordata; Mammalia; Primates; Hylobatidae
Source: RefSeq, a predicted model, not a curated record
UUGUUUUUGCCUGUCAUGGAGCUCCGUUCAUUCUGAACAUGUCACCGGGGACUUUGGAAUGUGUAUCCGUAACUCCCUGAUUUUCAAACACAUUCCAGCCUGCCUGACUCAUGAAGCGUGGAGCGACCCAGGAACAUCCCAGCUCGUCAUGUCCCACAUUCUUCAGGCUUUCUCUUAGUUUUGGCAUGUGCAUGUAAAUGUCAACAGUGCCCAGAUCAGCACCUGAUGUAUACUUGGCACACAAUAACUACUCUUGAAAUUCAUGAAGGAAUCUGGACAUUUAGGGGGUUCCUCAGAAUCCGCCGCUUUUAGGGAAGAUUCUCUGCCUGAUGUGUGAGCACUCUAACCUCUUCAUCUGUGCUCAGUCCCCUUGCAAUGCUUCUCUAAGAUCAAUAAAGGCAAAAACCAGGAGAUCCCAUAAAUCCCGCUGAGCCUGUCAUAGCUAUCAAAUUAAACCCAGAUAAAGCUUCUGGUGGCUAAUGACAUGGCCAUCACCCAGCGUGGACGUGGGCAGGAGGGGCUCUCCGGGGGCAUCUGGUCUGCUGUGGAGACACUUGUCAUCUGGGGGCUCAGUGGCUCUAAUGGAGGUGUCACUCUCCGAUCUCUCAGCUGGUUGGGAAAAAUCUGUAUCAGUCAUUACCCUUGCUCAAGCCCAGACUGGGUCAUCUGGCCACAGCAGGAGAUGCAGCGGGGGAACAGCAGCAGGAGAUGCAGGGGGGGAACAGCAGCAGGCAUGGAGCUGAGACAAGAUUUCACUGUGCAGACAGUUUCCGGGAAGAGGCUGGGUCUGAAGCUGCAUCUCCAUGUCCCAGGAGUACCUUUCAAAGCUUCCCCUGUCCUGGCCUCAAGCUCUAGGAGCUUUGAAAAAAUGCUUGCAUUUUGGGCUGGGCGGGGUGGCUCACGCCUGUAAUCCCUGCAUUUUGGGAGGCUGAGGCGGACAGAUCACUUGAGGUCAGGAGUUUGAGACCAGCCUAGCCAAUAUGGCGAAACCCUAUCUCUACUAAAAAUACAAAAAUUAGCCUGGUGGUGGUGGCUCAGUACCCGUAAUCCCAGCUACUUGGGAGGCUGAGGCAGGAGAAUCGCUUGAGCCUGGGAGGCAGAGGUUGCAGUGAGCUGAGAUCACGCCACUGGACUCCAGCGUGGGUGACAGAGUGAUAGGCUGUCUCAGAAAAAGAAAAAUACUCGAAAAUAUGCUUGCAUUUUGAAUAUAUAUCUAUAUCUAUCUAUCUAUAUAUUUUAUAUCUGUAAAAGAAAAAAUAUUCAGGACUCUCUAAAUUUAUUAUGCCAUGUGGGGAGUUAAGCCCUGGAAACUCACAUAGCAUGUAUGCAACUUCUGCUCUUAGGUUAUAGUUUAACUCUCUUCCUCUUUGCUCUUGUUCUGUAAAUGACUGGGAGAGACCAGACACCAAACCUCCUCCCCUUCCAAUCACUGAUCUUUGUUGCAGAGGAACCGCCUCCUUUAUUGUCCCGUGCCUAAUUUAGACCAGAUGGCACAAAAGACCCCGUGACUAUUACGUCUUUAGUGUGGAAGGUUAAAUAUACCUUUCCCAAAAGGAAAAAGACUACCUCAACCAACCAGAUAUUGUAAUUAUGCAUUAAACCUUAUAUAGAAAGACGUUGAGAUUCUGUUACGCUUCCCCAAGCUUUGUCUAUAUAAACAAUCACAAACUUCUACACUUUGGAGCACUGACUUCCAUUCUUUGGAAUCUGUGCUUCCCAGGCAGCUCAUCUUCAAACUUUGUGCCUGAAUAAACUCCCUUUAAACCA